GUCGAGCGAACGGACGAGAAGCUUGCUUCUCUGAUGUUAGCGGCGGACGGGUGAGUAACACGUGGAUAACCUACCUAUAAGACUGGGAUAACUUCGGGAAACCGGAGCUAAUACCGGAUAAUAUUUUGAACCGCAUGGUUCAAAAGCGAAAGACGGUCUUGCUGUCACUUAUAGAUGGAUCCGCGCUGCAUUAGCUAGUUGGUAAGGUAACGGCUUACCAAGGCAACGAUGCAUAGCCGACCUGAGAGGGUGAUCGGCCACACUGGAACUGAGACACGGUCCAGACUCCUACGGGAGGCAGCAGUAGGGAAUCUUCCGCAAUGGGCGAAAGCCUGACGGAGCAACGCCGCGUGAGUGAUGAAGGUCUUCGGAUCGUAAAACUCUGUUAUUAGGGAAGAACAUAUGUGUAAGUAACUGUGCACAUCUUGACGGUACCUAAUCAGAAAGCCACGGCUAACUACGUGCCAGCAGCCGCGGUAAUACGUAGGUGGCAAGCGUUAUCCGGAAUUAUUGGGCGUAAAGCGCGCGUAGGCGGUUUUUUAAGUCUGAUGUGAAAGCCCACGGCUCAACCGUGGAGGGUCAUUGGAAACUGGAAAACUUGAGUGCAGAAGAGGAAAGUGGAAUUCCAUGUGUAGCGGUGAAAUGCGCAGAGAUAUGGAGGAACACCAGUGGCGAAGGCGACUUUCUGGUCUGUAACUGACGCUGAUGUGCGAAAGCGUGGGGAUCAAACAGGA
This 734-nucleotide ribosomal RNA is filed under the name uncultured Staphylococcus sp. Its description in RNAcentral is "bacterial SSU rRNA". It matches the Rfam family "Bacterial small subunit ribosomal RNA", at positions 61 to 777 of the family's 1533-position model. The record is from RNAcentral. Lineage: Bacteria; Bacillati; Bacillota; Bacilli; Caryophanales; Staphylococcaceae.